GGAUUUUAGUGCAUAUCUCAAAACUGAUAAGCACUCUUUCACAUCUUUCCCAACAGCAACACAAAUUACAUCUUCACUAAUAGCUCCCACAGGCUCUUCCACAAUCUCUCUGCUUGAGCUGAUCAUAAUUGGUGAAGCUUCAGCAUAAUUAAUUGGACCAGCUCGAGGUGUAGUUGCUAGCAUAGCACUCACAACCGCCAU
This 201-nucleotide unclassified non-coding RNA is filed under the name Hevea brasiliensis (rubber tree). Lineage: Eukaryota; Viridiplantae; Streptophyta; Magnoliopsida; Malpighiales; Euphorbiaceae. The record is from RNAcentral.